This 454-nucleotide ribosomal RNA is filed under the name uncultured bacterium. Its description in RNAcentral is "bacterial SSU rRNA". It matches the Rfam family "Bacterial small subunit ribosomal RNA", at positions 330 to 801 of the family's 1533-position model. The record is from RNAcentral.
ACCGUACUCCUACGGGAGGCAGCAGUGGGGAAUCUUAGACAGUGGGGGAAACCCUGAUCUAGCCAUGCCGCGUGAUCGAUGAAGGCCUUAGGGUUGUAAAGAUCUUUCAGAUGGGAAGAUAAUGACGGCACCAUCAGAAGAAGCCCCGGCUAACUCCGUGCCAGCAGCCGCGGUAAUACGGAGGGGGCUAGCGUUAUUCGGAAUUACUGGGCGUAAAGCGCACGUAGGCGGACUGAAAAGUCAGAGGUGAAAUCCCAGGGCUCAACCUUGGAACUGCCUUUGAAACUCUCAGUCUUGAGGUCGAGAGAGGUGAGUGGAAUUCCGAGUGUAGAGGUGAAAUUCGUAGAUAUUCGGAGGAACACCAGUGGCGAAGGCGGCUCACUGGCUCGAUACUGACGCUGAGGUGCGAAAGCGUGGGGAGCAAACAGGAUUAGAAACCCGUGUAGUCCUUGAC